AGUGGCGGACGGGUGAGUAACGCGUGAGAAUCUGCCUUCAGGUCGGGGACAACAUUUGGAAACGAAUGCUAAUACCCGAUGUGCCGAGAGGUGAAAGGUUAACUGCCUGAAGAUGAGCUCGCGUCCGAUUAGCUAGUUGGUGGUGUAAGAGACCCCCAAGGCGACGAUCGGUAGCUGGUUUGAGAGGACAAUCAGCCACACUGGGACUGAGACACGGCCCAGACUCCUACGGGAGGCAGCAGUGGGGAAUUUUCCGCAAUGGGCGAAAGCCUGACGGAGCAAUACCGCGUGAGGGACGAAGGCCUGUGGGUUGUAAACCUCUUUUCUCAGGGAAGAAGAUCUGACGGUACCUGAGGAAUCAGCAUCGGCUAACUCCGUGCCAGUAGCCGCGGUAAGACGGAGGAUGCAAGCGUUAUCCGGAAUUAUUGGGCGUAAAGCGUCCGCAGGCGGUUUCGUAAGUCUGUCUUUAAAGAGUGGAGCUUAACUCCAUAAAGGGGAUGGAAACUGCGAGACUAGAGGUAGGUAGGGGUAGAAGGAAUUCCCAGUGUAGCGGUGAAAUGCGUAGAUAUUGGGAAGAACACCAGCAGCGAAGGCGUUCUACUGGACCAAACCUGACGCUCAUGGACGAAAGCUAGGGGAGCGAAAGGGAUUAGAUACCCCUGUAGUCCUAGCCGUAAACGAUGGACACUAGGUGUUGCAC
RNAcentral lists this ribosomal RNA (700 nucleotides) under uncultured bacterium. RNAcentral describes it as "bacterial SSU rRNA". It matches the Rfam family "Bacterial small subunit ribosomal RNA", at positions 94 to 828 of the family's 1533-position model. The record is from RNAcentral.